GGGUUGAACAAUCAAAUGAUGGGAACGUGAACAACUUGCAUGUCGCUCCACCAGGAAUGUUCAAUGAAAAUCCACUCUUUUUCCCUCCUGGUUAUGGCUUUGAUCCACAGAUGGCAUUUGGACAGUUCUCCCCCAUUGCUAGUCCUCUUUCUCCUUUUAUGAUAGAUGGUCAGCUAUACUCACACCAGAUUCCAGUUUCUCCACCUUAUUAUGCACCACCUGUUUCCCCUGGCUUGCCCCAUGUUACAUCAGCUCUUCCAGCUUCACAGCCUGAUCUGGUGGCACCAGGAAGCACUGGCCA
Molecule: unclassified non-coding RNA, 301 nt
Filed under: Hevea brasiliensis (rubber tree)
Lineage: Eukaryota; Viridiplantae; Streptophyta; Magnoliopsida; Malpighiales; Euphorbiaceae
Source: RNAcentral